GCCCCACAACGGGACGAGUGCAGUAAUUUUUUGAAAAUUCCUAGGGAGAUAGGGGCGUGGAAGGGGACACGGAUUGUAAUGCCAUAUGGUACCUAGUCUCGAACUAGCCCAUUACUGUCCCAAAGCCAGUAUUGGCGCGCAUGCGUGCCAAGAGUCUAGUAUGGAGAAAGUGUGAGUUGGCUUGGGGCACUACAAGGAAAAACCUCUUUUGGUCGCAAAAACUAUAAAUUGGCGACGAACUGCUUCUAGGUGGUCGCCAAAAGAUACGUAAUAUUUAGGAAUUCAUUAGGACUUGGCGAACAAACAUAUAAUUGGUCGCCAAAUUCUGAAAACAUGCGCGCGAAACUCAAAACUUGUUGGCGAUGAAAAUAUUGUGUGGCUAAGUUUUCAUGUGUCGUCGCUAAAUUAAAAGUCGCGCGUAAAAAGUUUCGUGGGAUCGGCGGCCAAUGUUUUCUUUCGUCGCAAACCAGUUUGUGCUAAGGAUUAAGCCAAAAAGACGACGUCGUUUAUGUAUGUUAGCUUAUGGGCGACCGAAUUAUUUUGGGGCUAAGCUAGAGAGUAUAAAUAAAAAAAAUAAAAUAUAAGAUCCCAACUCGUUAUUUCCUCUCAGACCCCUUCUCCAUCUUGCAAGCCCUUCUGCUGCUCCAACAUCGCCACCGAUGUCUGCAAGCCUAGGGUCAGAAAUGGACAGUUUUCC
RNAcentral lists this long non-coding RNA (697 nucleotides) under Prunus persica (peach). Its description in RNAcentral is "long non-coding RNA (PPER_LNC005009)". Lineage: Eukaryota; Viridiplantae; Streptophyta; Magnoliopsida; Rosales; Rosaceae. The record is from RNAcentral.